UGUUGAAAUUUAAUCUCCAGUGUGGCAGUGUUGAGAGGUGGGGCCCAGUGGGAGGUAUCUGGGUCAUGGGGCAGAUCCCUCAUAUAUAGAUUAAUGCCCUCCCUUGGGGGUGAGGGAGUUCUCAUUCUUAUUAGUUUGACAGAGCUGGUUGUUAGAAAGAGCCUGGCAUUCCUCUCCCCUUACUUCCUCUCUUGCAAUGAGCUCUGGACAGGCCAGCUCCCCUUCACCUUCCACCAGGAGUGAAAGCAGCCAGAGGCCCUCAUCAGGUGCCCAGUCUUGAACCUUCCAGCCAGCAGAACUGAUUCUAAUGGAACACGAGUGAACUACCUUUCCCAGCUUCUCCAGCAAUAACGUGUGAUCAUAUGACUAAGUUCUCUCUCCUGGAAUGUGAGUGAAAUGAUGUCCACCCCUGUCAGGAGGGGCUUAAGAGAGUUACGGAGUCUCUGCCACAUGGUGCUCAAUCCAUCAUGGGCUUUUUUUUAACUUAAUAGUUAAGUAAAAAGAUCUCUAGUUUCUUUGCCAAGACUCAGAUUCUACUCUCUAAACUCUUGGUGAGCAUAUGAACUGUUCUCUCUGAAAAGUAAUUUGACAAUAUCAAUGGGAAUUUUGAACAUUCCACUACUAAAAAUUAUAAUUAUGCUACAAACUCAUAUGUACAAAGGUACUUGUGAAAAAAUUGUCAUUGUAGCAUCUUUUAUAAAAGCAAAGUAAAAGAAAAAGUAGAAGAAAGCAAAGUACAAUGUAUCUCUAUGCAAUGGAAUAUUAUGCAGCUAUUGAUUGGUAUAAAGCAGACUUACAUGUACUGAUAUGAAAUGAUAAUCUCCAAUAUAUAUAUAUGUAAACACACACAAAAUAGGCAUAUAUACCUCUAUUUCUGUUUUAAUGACAUAUUAAUAUAAUCAUAUUUAAUAACUCACCAAAGUGAAAGAUAUAUAUCAUAUUAGAAUGGUUGUCUAUGAGAGGAGGGAGGGAAAUGGGAGUGUGGAAUGGGGAUAAAUAAAUGGAUGGAUGGUGUGUGGGUGGUGAUGGUCAGAUAGACAGGUAAAUAGGCCUUCACAGACCAAUGAUGAUCAUUUUAUAUAAAUAUAUAUAUAUAUACAUAUUCAGUCGUCUGUCAGUGUCCAUGAGGGAUUGGUUCCAGGACCCUCCUCAGAUACCAAAAUCUACAGAUGCUCAAAUUGCUUAUACAAAAUGGUGUAGUAUUUGCAUAUAACCUAUACACAUUCUCGCACACACUCUAAAUCAUCUCUAGAUUAUUUAUAAUACCUAAUACAAUGUAAAUGCUAUAAAAAUAGCUGUUAUACUUAAUUAUUUAGGAAUAAUGACAAGAAAAAAACUCUGUACAUGUUCAGUACAGAAGAAACUAUCCUUUUUUUUUCAAAUAUUUUUGAUCCGCAGUUUGUUGAAUCUGUGGAUGCAGAUCCACAGAUAUGGAGAGUCAACAUAUAUAUACACCCAUACACACACAUACAUAUGAAAGACUCAUAUUUGUUAUAAUUAGUUUUAUAAUGAAUAAAAUAUGCUCAUUUAUAAUUCAUAUGUAUGAUUCACUUAUGUAUAUUAUUUCAUAAGCAUAGACUGUUUCUGGAAAGAUAGACAAGAAGCUAUUAGCAAUGGCUGCCUCUGGGAAGUGAAAAUAGAGAUUACAGGACUUUUAUUUUUCACUUUCUACCUCUCUGUACUAUUCAAACUUCUUAUCAUCAUCUUCUAUCACUUUUAUUAUUUUUUAAAAUAAAACAUAGAAUUUCAGUUCUUGCAGAAGUGAGAAUCUGACUAAGGCAACAAGAGGUACACUUUACCCUAUUUAAUCAAGUCUUUCGAGAUUACAUGAUUCAGUCUUCUUUCUUUUUUUUUUUUUUUUUUUUUUUUUUUUUGAGACAGUGUCUCGCACUGUCGCCCAGGCUGAAAUACAAUGGCGCGAUCUCGGCUUACUGCAACCUCCACCUCCCGGGUUCAUGCAAUUCUCCUGCCUCAGCCUCCAGAGUAGCCGGGAUUACAGGCACACUCCACCACACCUGGCUAAUUUUUUGUAUUUUUAGUAGAGACAGGGUUUCACUAUGUUGGCCACACUGGUCUCAAACUCCUGACCUCGUGAUCCACCCGCCUCAGCCUCCCAAAGAGCUGGGGUUACAGGUAUGAGCCACUGCACCCGGCCCAU
RNAcentral lists this long non-coding RNA (2158 nucleotides) under Homo sapiens (human). Its description in RNAcentral is "HSALNT0061073". The record is from RNAcentral. Lineage: Eukaryota; Metazoa; Chordata; Mammalia; Primates; Hominidae.